UACGGAGGAUGCGAGCGUUAUCCGGAUUUAUUGGGUUUAAAGGGUGCGUAGGCGGAUUUUUAAGUCAGCGGUAAAAUGUCCGGGCUCAACCCGGGCCGGCCGUUGAAACUGGGGAUCUUGAGUGGGCGAGAAGUAUGCGGAAUGCGUGGUGUAGCGGUGAAAUGCAUAGAUAUCACGCAGAACUCCGAUUGCGAAGGCAGCAUACCGGCGCCCGACUGACGCUGAGGCGCGAAAGCGUGGGGAGCAAACAGG
RNAcentral lists this ribosomal RNA (252 nucleotides) under uncultured bacterium. RNAcentral describes it as "partial 16S ribosomal RNA". It matches the Rfam family "Bacterial small subunit ribosomal RNA", at positions 524 to 776 of the family's 1533-position model. The record is from RNAcentral.